GGAAUAUUGGACAAUGGGGGCAACCCUGAUCCAGCCAUGCCGCGUGCGUGAAGAAGGCCUUAGGGUUAUAAAGCGCUUUCACUGGUGAAGAUGAUGACGGUAGCCAGAGAAGAAGCCCCGGCUAACUCCGUGCCAGCAGCCGCGGUAAUACGGGGGGGGCGAGCGUUGUUCGGAGUUACUGGGCGUAAAGGGCGCGUAGGCGGCCCGAGAAGUUCUGGGUGAAAGCCCCCGGCUCAACCGGGGAAGGGCCUGGAAAACCAUCGGGCUGGAGUGCUGGAGAGGCAAGCGGAAUUUCUGGUGUAGCGGUGAAAUGCGUAGAUAUCAGAAGGAACACCUGCGGCGAAGGCGGCUUGCUGGACAGACACUGACGCUGAGGCGCGAAAGCCAGGGGAGCAAAC
This 398-nucleotide ribosomal RNA is filed under the name uncultured bacterium. RNAcentral's name for it is "bacterial SSU rRNA". It matches the Rfam family "Bacterial small subunit ribosomal RNA", at positions 358 to 773 of the family's 1533-position model. The record is from RNAcentral.